UCCGGUUUGUUUCCGGCGGUCUCCCUAGAUAGUCAACUAAGGACGAGGGUUGCGCUCGUUGCGGGACUUAACCCAACAUCUCACGACACGAGCUGACGACAGCCAUGCAACAUCUGUGCACCCGUCCCUUCCGGGAGGGCCUCUUUUCGGAGGCUUGCGAGUGCAUGUCAAGCCUUGGUAAGGCUCUUCGCGUCGCAUCGAAUUAAACCACACGCUCCGCUGCUUGUGCGGGUCCCCGUCAAUUCCUUUGAGUUUUAGCCUUGCGGCCGUACUCCCCAGGCGGGGUGCUUAAUGCGUUAGCUUCGGCACGGAGAGGGUUGAAGACCUCCCCACACCUAGCACCCAACGUUUACGGCUGGGACUAC
RNAcentral lists this unclassified non-coding RNA (365 nucleotides) under uncultured Ktedonobacteria bacterium. RNAcentral's name for it is "contains 16S-23S intergenic spacer region". Lineage: Bacteria; Bacillati; Chloroflexota; Ktedonobacteria. The record is from RNAcentral.